RNAcentral lists this ribosomal RNA (158 nucleotides) under Podalyria sericea. RNAcentral's name for it is "5.8S ribosomal RNA". It matches the Rfam family "5.8S ribosomal RNA". From Rfam's summary of the family: 5.8S ribosomal RNA (5.8S rRNA) is a component of the large subunit of the eukaryotic ribosome. Lineage: Eukaryota; Viridiplantae; Streptophyta; Magnoliopsida; Fabales; Fabaceae. The record is from RNAcentral.
GACUCUCGGCAACGGAUAUCUCGGCUCUUGCAUCGAUGAAGAACGUAGCGAAAUGCGAUACUUGGUGUGAAUUGCAGAAUCCCGUGAACCAUCGAGUCUUUGAACGCAAGUUGCGCCCGAAGCCAUUAGGUCGAGGGCACGCCUGCCUGGGUGUCGCA